AUGAAGGGGCGGUUGGGAGCUCUGAGAGGUUCUACGGCUACUUGUGCAGAGAGCCCUACUACACCCAAGAAUCCCAUUGUUGAAUUGAUAGACAACGAUGAUGAUGUUUUUGACAAGAUUGCUAACGUGGGAAGAGUCACGAGGAGCGCUACUGCCAAAGGUUUAUCUCCCCUUGCUGGAAUAGUGGCUCGUAGAGCUGGUGGUGCUAGGAAAGAUCCUGCUUUGGAUUCUGGCAAUGUUGUAAGCACGAAGCGUGCGCCCAGAACUCCUAUAAAGUUUUGCUCCAAUGUGCAGCAGCUUCACCCUCAUAAAUUCCCUCACCUGGACAAGGCUCGCAGGUUAUAUAAUCUGUUGCUUAGUGAUGAAUGGCGUGAGAAGUAUGCCGAGAAUACAUUCUUAAUGAUACCUCAUCCUGAUGAAAGCGUAACUAGCUUCACUGGGAAUCGCAUCUGGGAAGUUUUUUCACCUGGGCAAAUGAUGGAGGGUGGUGUUGUGCUUGACUGUACGUUUUACGGUGAUGAAAAUAAAGAGUUUAAUGUGGAGAGUGAAGCGAGAGAUUUCAAGAGCUAUGUUAAAGAUAAGGAAGACUUGCUCAGUGCUGACCUUAUCAUGAUGCCUCUAUUCAAGCCUAUGAUUUUAGGAAAGGAUAAGAAAGUGAACCACUAUUCCUUAUAUGUCAUGAAUCGGUACCGAAGUAGCGUUGACAUCCUUGACUCUUUACCUUAUCCAAAGAACCACCAUCCUUCAAAGAACACCUAUCAUAAAGACUGCGAGAAGAUUAUUUCUAGAUUGGUCAAAGUAAUGAAGGCAGUGUAUGGUGAUGCUCAGUAUAAUGCGAGCAAGCAGCCCAAUUGGGAGCUGUUUGCAAAGAAACCAACAUUUGUGAAGGUUCCACUUCAAGGGGAAAAUGAAUGUGGCCAUUAUACUCUGAAGUAUGCGGGAUCCUAUGAUGGUGAAAAGAUCGUUGAGAACAUUCGAGAUAAUGAUCCACGCAUUGUUGAUUGGAACGCUGAGGAUCUGUAUAGAGUUGUGUUCAAUUGGAAUAGCCAGCUUGUGGUGACAGAGCUUCCCAAGGAUGUUCAGGCUUUGGCUCCUGAUACAUAG
This 1104-nucleotide ribosomal RNA is filed under the name Triticum aestivum (bread wheat). RNAcentral's name for it is "partial small subunit ribosomal RNA". The record is from RNAcentral. Lineage: Eukaryota; Viridiplantae; Streptophyta; Magnoliopsida; Poales; Poaceae.